Molecule: ribosomal RNA, 440 nt
Filed under: uncultured Janthinobacterium sp.
Lineage: Bacteria; Pseudomonadati; Pseudomonadota; Betaproteobacteria; Burkholderiales; Oxalobacteraceae
Description: bacterial SSU rRNA
Rfam family: Bacterial small subunit ribosomal RNA
Source: RNAcentral
GGAAUUUUGGACAAUGGGCGCAAGCCUGAUCCAGCAAUGCCGCGUGAGUGAAGAAGGCCUUCGGGUUGUAAAGCUCUUUUGUCAGGGAAGAAACGGUGGGAGCUAAUAUCUCCUGCUAAUGACGGUACCUGAAGAAUAAGCACCGGCUAACUACGUGCCAGCAGCCGCGGUAAUACGUAGGGUGCAAGCGUUAAUCGGAAUUACUGGGCGUAAAGCGUGCGCAGGCGGUUUUGUAAGUCUGAUGUGAAAUCCCCGGGCUCAACCUGGGAAUUGCAUUGGAGACUGCAAGGCUAGAAUCUGGCAGAGGGGGGUAGAAUUCCACGUGUAGCAGUGAAAUGCGUAGAUAUGUGGAGGAACACCGAUGGCGAAGGCAGCCCCCUGGGUCAAGAUUGACGCUCAUGCACGAAAGCGUGGGGAGCAAACAGGAUUAGAUACCCUUG